UAUUACCGGAGAGAGCUAAAAGCAUGUAGGAGGAAGAGAUAGGCGGCGGAGAAGAUGAAUUAGGACUACGUGGUAACGGAGGAGCUAGCGGAGGAGGAGGAUGAUGACGGUGAUGAGGC
This 119-nucleotide small RNA is filed under the name Arabidopsis thaliana (thale cress). RNAcentral's name for it is "ATSL153240". Lineage: Eukaryota; Viridiplantae; Streptophyta; Magnoliopsida; Brassicales; Brassicaceae. The record is from RNAcentral.